CAGCAGCCGCGGUAAAACGGAGGGCGCGAGCGUUACCCGGAUUUACUGGGCGUAAAGGGCGUGUAGGCGGCCUGGGGCGUCCCAUGUGAAAGGCCACGGCUCAACCGUGGAGGAGCGUGGGAUACGCUCAGGCUAGAGGGUGGGAGAGGGUGGUGGAAUUCCCGGAGUAGCGGUGAAAUGCGCAGAUACCAGGAGGAACGCCGAUGGCGAAGGCAGCCACCUGGUCCACUUCUGACGCUGAGGCACGAAAGCGUGGGGAGCAAACAGGAUUAGAUACCCCAGUAGUCCCUGUCUCUUAUAC
This 301-nucleotide ribosomal RNA is filed under the name uncultured bacterium. Its description in RNAcentral is "partial 16S ribosomal RNA". It matches the Rfam family "Bacterial small subunit ribosomal RNA", at positions 509 to 807 of the family's 1533-position model. The record is from RNAcentral.